This is a small nuclear RNA of Jaculus jaculus (lesser Egyptian jerboa), 105 nucleotides long. Lineage: Eukaryota; Metazoa; Chordata; Mammalia; Rodentia; Dipodidae. The record is from RefSeq and is a predicted model, not a curated record.
GUGCUUAUUUUGGCAGCACAUAUGCUAAAAUUGAAAUGAUAUAGAGUAGGUUAGCAUGACCCUGUGCAAGUUUUCAUUUAUUUUCUUCAUGUGUGUAGUAUAUGU